This is a long non-coding RNA of Acinonyx jubatus (cheetah), 5881 nucleotides long. RefSeq lists it as uncharacterized. Lineage: Eukaryota; Metazoa; Chordata; Mammalia; Carnivora; Felidae. The record is from RefSeq and is a predicted model, not a curated record. The transcript is spliced from 3 exons.
GGGGGGGGAGGAGGCGGCUGAUGGCACGCGAGAGCGGUGGCCUGCCGGAGACCCGUCCACCCGAGUGUGCCCUGUAGGCGCAGGUCAGCAACGGGGGCUCCUUGUGCCCUUGUCCCUUCUGAGAAACGGGAACAUUCCAUUGCCCUGGGGAGCAAUGAGAGGGGGGAGGGAAAGACGGGGGGGUGACAGGGAGGAGACCCGGCUUCUCCACACUCCCCCCCACUCUCCCCUCCCUGGAGUGCUGACCUGUGGACCACUCCCUGCAAGGGCAUCGGACCAGGAAGGGCAGGAGGGGGCACUCACGGGGCCUGCCCUACGCCCGCCUUGCUGCGCCCACAGAUGUGAGUUCCUCUCCCCCUCCCAGGCCCCCCCCCUCAUUUUGCAGAGAAGGCAACUGAGGCACAGAGAUGUUGUACGCUUGGCUCGUGCUCACACAGCUAGUAAGUGGCCGGGCCGGGGCCCCUCUAUUUUCCAUGACCCCGGGCGCUGUCUCUGUGUCUGUCUGUCUCUCUCCCCUCUCUCUCCCUCUCUCUCUCCGAGCAUGGAGGCGGGGGCAGGGUGGUCAGGGGGAGGGGACACGUCACCCAGUCCACUCAGUUCCAAGGUCGGUUGGGAGCCGUGCCUGCCACCAGGAGAGGAGGACACAAAUGACAGAGGGGGACCACACAGCAGCCACGUCGCCUCCCUCCCGCACCCCACACCACCUGGUGAAGGGUCAUGCGCGUAAUAGCAGCAGGCCUCUCUCGGCCCCGCCUCUGCCCGCUGGAGAAGAAGACUGUGACAGGUGUCUUCUCCAGGGAGUGGGGCUGAGUGUGGGAGGGGGUCUUGGUGGGCAGGGACUCGGGCAGUGGGUGCCACGGCCCCUGACUUAGAGCCGCACACCUCUACGCCUGGGCUAGGACAUACGUGCGUCCCCAACCCAUUGGCUGCGGGCGGAAAGGCUUCCGUGGGGCCACCGGGCUCUGAGAGAAAGAACGCGACCCUUCCCUGCCAGGCAGGUGCAGCGUGCCAGGGGAGGGGCUGGAGCCGGGCAGGUCAGCAGGGCGGGCUGCUGACACCAACAUGUGAGUGGACACAGGACCGAGAUAUUUGUGUCACAUCACAGCACCCGCCGCGUGGCUCUCUGCUCAGAGCCCCUCGGGUAGAAUAUGUGGCUACUGGGCACGUCUGACAUCCACUUCCAACGUGAGCCCCAACUCUGACGUGCUCGUUAGAACAAAACCCAGGUACGUGCUGCUGACAUUCGGCACCGUUUGCUGAACCCAGGACUGAUACGCGGCUUUCACCUAUGUUAGCGUUUCUGAGCCAGUGUUUUAACUGUUUUAAAUGUGUAUUUAUUUGUGAGCGGCGGGGGAGGGGCAGAGAGAGCGGGAGACACAGAACGGGAAGCGGGCUCCAGGCUCCGAGCCGUCAGCACAGAGCCCGACGCGGGGCUCAAACCCACAGACCACGAGAUCAUGACCUGAGCGGAAGUCGGACACUCUUACAUAGUAUAUAAUUAUACUAUGUUUAUGUUUUUAAAAACAUUUUUAAUGUUUAUUUAUUUUUGAGAGAGAGAGAGAGAGAGAGAGAGUCAGAGCAUGAGCAGGGGAGGGACAGAGAGAGGGGGAGACACAGAAUCCGAAGCAGGCUCCAGGCUCUGAGCUGUCAGCACAGAGCCCGACGUGAAGCUUGAACUCACGAACCGCAAAAUCAUGACCUGAGCCAAUGUUGGACGUCUAACCAACUGAGCCACCCAGGUGCCCCAAAGCAGUUUUUUUUUUUUAAAUCAGGAGAUCCACAUACAAAUCAGAAGGUCUGGCUUUCCCGGGUGCCUAUUCUCUGUUGGUUCCACAGGCUGGCACUGAGCAGGGCGCCCCCUCCAGGCAGGGCCGGGCUCUCCCAGAGGAGCUCGAACUGCCCUGCCUACUUCUGUCAUUCCCACUGCCCGCCUGGCCACGCGAGCCCCAGGGCUUGGGACCUGGUUCUGGCACAUCCCCGUGGCCCCCAGAAUAUGUUCCUUUGGGUCCUGGCCCAAAUCUGUGCAAUUUCUGGACUCAGGAAAGGAUGGAUACAACCUGCUAUAAGUGAGGCAGUCUUACCCUGGGUCCUUCCGUUGCUGCCAAUCUGCAGAUGACAGAUGACACGUUUCUCCAAGGACACCCAGACUGGACACGUAGAGCCUGUCAUGACGGCACUGGAGUCCUCGUCACCUGCUCCUGAGCUGCCAGGGAAGCCUCUCGGUCUGUCCGCCAUGCCCAGAGUCAGGCCAGGUGACCCCGGGGCCUCAGAGCCUCCCUGGUGUCCCUCCCUGGUGGUUGCCGUGGGAACCAGAGCUGGGGCUGGGCAGGGUCUUUGCUCUUCACACCUUGCGUCUCCUUUCUCAGUUCUUGCUCAAGGAAUGUUUGCAGAGCACCUGUAACGUGCCAGGCCCCAUAUGAGAUACGAAAGGACGCUAAGCAUCAGUCCCUUGCCUUAAAAAACUCAUAGUUCAGGGAGGAGUCAAAGUCAGACCACAGGUGACCCUACAUCCUGGCUGGCUUUACAAUUCAAGGUCAGGGAGAGGCCCAGGCUAACGCUACAGGUUGAGGAACGCAAGUGGAGUGAAAUCAGGAAGGUUCGUGGGGAAUACGGCUUUUGAGUUGGACCUUGAAACGUUUCCCUGGGGGGAGGGGGGUCAGAGAGGGUGUUCUGGGCAGGGGUGUGGUGGGCGAAGGGAGCAGGGGCAAAGGUGUGGAGGCGGGCAAGUACAGGGCACGGAAGGGAGCCCAUCCAGACGCAGGAGCAGACUCAAAGGAGCUGAUGUGCAGGACAUUCCUUCGGCCACGAUCAAAGAAAUCUGGGGAAGACCGGGCUGAUUUCCAAGAAUGCAUAGAGAACACGGAAUUUUCCAAGUUGAUUUGUUCGCAGGCCCUUGCUCCACCCGCCCCCUUUUUAUUUGCAGCCGGCGGAGCAGCCGUGGGUCUGGGGAGGGGGGUGACAGCGGAGGAGAUGGGAACAGCCUGGAACGGAGGCAAAGCCAGGUCAUGCAGAGUCUCCGGUGCCCAGCAGCGGCUUUACUGCGAGGGUACUGGGCACGUGAGAAGGUUCUAGGCAGAAGGCUAGCAGCUUCUUAGGAGCCAAGGUUCUGGAGGUGAGCUGCAAUCAAACCUUAGCUUUGCUCUGUGCCGAUUACGCAGCCUUGGUCAGGUGACCACUCGAACUCCCCGCACCUUUGUCUGAAAACGGGGCUAAUGACAGUGCUCCAUUCAGGCGUGGUAAUGAGUAAAUGAGAGACGACGCUAUACAAGGUGCUACAGAGCGCCAGAUGCGGUAAGUGCUCAAUAAAUAUUAGCUAUUGCUAAUUUUAAUAUCAAUGAGGUUUUAUACUAUUGGCGAUCAAAGUCCAUUUGGACUUAUAUUACAGAACUUUCGAACGCAAGUUUAUCACUUUGGGGUGCGUACAGUGACCCCUAUUUGGCUACUACAAUAUUAGCAAGAAAGUCUUUGGGGGACUGGUCUUAGCCCACUCGGGCUGUUGUGACAGUAUCCCGUAGCCUGAAUGGCUUAUAAAUAACAGAAAUAUAUUUCUCUCAGUUCUGGAGGUCCAAGCUCGAGGCACCAGCAGAUUCAGUGUCUGGUGAGGGCCUGCCUGCCUCUGGUUCAUGGACCGGUGCUUUCUAGCUUCAACCACCAGUGGGGGAAGGGCCAGGGAUCUUUCCUGCCUCCUUUAUAACAAGGGCACUAAUCUCAUUCACAAGGGCUCCCCUAACGACCGAAUCAUCUCCCAAAGGCCCCACCUCCUAAUCCCACCAUCGCGGGCCUUAAGAUGCAGUUUAUAAAUUUGGUCGGGGGGACGCAAACAUUCCAGUCCAUAGCUGGGGCCCAUGUUAAUCACCGGAUAAUAAUGAUUUGUAAUUAAUGGCUUGUAUUUCAGAAUUUGCUUCUAAGUGUUUAAAAGUGUUUCUCCUGUCACAUAGUCCCAACGAACCAUUAGACUAUGGACCCUGAUGCUUAACUUGCCGAGCACGUCUCUUUACUGAGUAGCAAGGCCAAGGUCUAGGUCUGGCUCAGAGCCAUUGCCAGCCAAGAAUGAAAGAUAGCAGAGGGGCUGAGGCCGGGUCAGACCACUGAGAGUACCGUGCAGAGAAAUGGGCAGACACAGCCAGGGGAACCCCAAGGUCCUCUCCCCGGCAGGAGGCAGGGGCAAAGCUCAUGGCUCUAUGCCCUGAGUGACGAGAGCACAGGGACCUGGCGUCACCCACCAGCCAAGCCUCCAGCCACCUGCUCCUGGUGACCUGGGGUCUGCUAUGGCAGGUUCCUCGGCUAAUCGUCCACCAGACACAUUGUCGUCUUCCUCCCGAGUAGUGGGAUUGUAGGUGGGCACCCAGCCGCCCAGCUAGACUACACUUCCUGGCCUUUUUUGCAGUUGGCAGAGUUCUUGCCUUGCACUUUAUGUCAGCAAAAGUGGUGCGUGCUCCAUCUGAGACGGAGCCUCUGAGACAGCGGGCACGUUUCCUCCUCGAUCUCUUGUCACCUCCCUUCCGUCUACAAACAGGACAUGGCUGAGACCCAGCUUCACCCCGUAGACGUUUACAACACCCGAGGGAAUGGUGGAGAAACGAGAUGGGAAGAACCUGAGUCACCAAACGACUGAGUGACAGGAUCCACUCACCCAAAGGUGUCAGCGGUGAGCUGAGGGGGGAACAGAAUUUGUUCAAGACACACAGCUCUAAAGAAUGGAAACAGCCUGCCAUCCAUCAUAACCAGGGAGACCGGUUAAAUAAAGGUAGGGCUCUUUAAACAGACCACCGUGCAGCCAUAUAAAAGAACAAAGAAACUCAGCUUGAGUGAAUGAACUGUCUCCAAGAUACAUCACAAAAAAGCAAGGUGCAGACCGUGGACAUUGUAUCUGACCAUUUGUAUUAAACUGGGUGAAAUAUAGGAGUAUAAAUACAUAUUUUUUUUUUCUCGAAUACAAAUAAACUCUCUUGGAAGCACACAAGAGCCCGGAGAACACGGGCUGCCUCCAGGAAGGAGGGCAGGAGGGAGACUUUUCUCCCUCUAUCCUUUUGUGGUUUUGGGGUUUCAAUCAUGAGAAUGAAUUAGCUAUGAAACAAUUCAUAAUUAUCAUUGAAUAAAGAAUACAUUCCGGCUUAAAGAUUAACCAGCGGUAACACAAAAUGUUACGUCUGGAGAGCCACUAUCAAGGAGGCUUUGGUCCAGUCUGAUGGGUCCCCUCCCCCGACCCCUCCCCCUCGCGCCCCCACCCCUGCCCCAGCAGGGCGCUGGGGGCCCUCUGGCUUUCUGCCUUCCUGCCCUGGAAACCCAGAUGUAAAGCAGCACCAUGAUGGCAGUUGUGGGUUUCUACAGUUUUGAUCGCUGCUAUUAAAAUUGAUUUUUUUUCCUUGAAAUCACCUAAUACACAGAAAAUUUAUGGUCAGUUCCACGGCGGCAGAUAGCCUAAAUCAACCCACUCCGAGGUCAGAAUCCCAAGCUGAAAAGUUUCCACUGAAAACAGCUCACAUGUCACCUGGCGGGGGACAGUGGCCCUUGUGCCCGUGGAGGCCCAGAGCCUGGUGAAUCAGCCACUGCUGGGGAGUGACAGCCAGCAGGAGCCUCCAGAAUUCUGUGCAUGGUGGCCCCUGUCGGACCAGCCACGGGCCUUGCUGCCCAGUCCAGCCAAGGUGAGGCACAAGACAGGAGAGAGAAACGCAAGCCAUGAUUUGCAGGACCUGGUGCUAAAGGCUUAAAAGUUAUUGGGCAUUUCAGGAGGGCAAUAGUGGAGAAUAGCCAAGCAGGAGGCCCUUCUGAGCACGAGGCCUGUGAGACACACGGAUCUCAUGCCCCCGAAGCGGGUCCUGCAACCGCUCUCCCGGGGGGCAACCCAGACCAGGCUUGGCGAGAUUACAAGAGACACCUA